RNAcentral lists this long non-coding RNA (2228 nucleotides) under Fragaria vesca (wild strawberry). Its description in RNAcentral is "long non-coding RNA (FVES_LNC000558)". The record is from RNAcentral. Lineage: Eukaryota; Viridiplantae; Streptophyta; Magnoliopsida; Rosales; Rosaceae.
UUGAAAUCCGGAAUAAACCCUGCGGGACCCACCUCAAGGGAAAUUCUACCAAAAUUUUGGCAUAACUUCCCUUGAAAAUGAGUAACCCUACCUGGAAGAAAAAUCACCAAAACCCAAACACUUCUAAAACAAUUCAAUCCACAUCUUCUGGAGCCAUCCGCUCCCCCAAAUAAACAUCCACCACCUCAACCAACAUAAUAAAUCGAAAUAAUCUCAUGAAUUUAAUCUCUCAUAUAACAUGCCAAAUAAACCUUUUUCAACACUCAUAGGUGGAGUCACAAGCUCUCAACUCACAACAUUAACAACAACAACAACACUUAAAACAUCCCAAGGUUAUCAGAGCAACUACUAGGAAAGAGGAAAAUACAUAGGUAGGUUAACUAGUAACCUAUGAGAGAAAACUGGAUGAGGUGGGAAAUAUGACUCGCCUCCUACCCUCGCCGAACAGAACUCUGCAGACUGGGCAUUUAAAACGAAAGGCCCAGGGGAAAGCAUUUAAAACGUUAGAGUGAGUGGACAAAAUAAAUAAUAAAAAUACGGACUUAAUGACAGAGCAUUGAAAUCAAUUUAACGCUUUUCCCAUAUUUUCCAUUGAGAAAAUAUUUAUUUUAUGCAUGCCAUUCUUGGAAAUCUUUCCGAAAAUAAUUAUAGACAAAACUAAUGAAUCAAUCCCAUUGGUUCCCAAUAAAUCAAUAAAAAUAGGGAAAAUGUUUCGCCAUAACAAUGAGCCUCCCAGGCUAUAAUAGCGUCCCACGCUAAGCGCUCUACUCACAUAUGACGAGGACCGCUUAAAAAGUUAUAAUAGCGUCUCACGCUAAGCGCUCAACUCUCAUAUGAUGAGGACCGCUAAAUAAUGGCUAGCUAACAAUAAAUAUAUAUAUAUAUACCGAUCGGUUGCCUCCCAGGCUAUAAUAGCGUCCCACGCUAAGCGCUCUACUCACAUAUGAUGAGAACCGCUAAUAAGACUAUAAUAGCGACUCCCAUAUGAUGAGGACCGCUAAUAAGGUUAGCUAGCAAUAAUAUAUAUAUUAACCCUUUUAUGGUGAAAUACAAUAUUAAAAUACAAAGAUCCACACUUCCCCAAAUAAAUUAUAAUAAACUCAUAGCGUACAGUACAGUUCCCAACUAUACAUGGAAAUAAUAUAAAACACUUGACACGUCCCACGUGUCAACUAAAAUUAGCAAGAGAGUUCCGGAAAAAAAUAAGUGGAACUCGAUAAUCCAACAAAUUAUUAUAUCUCCAAAUGCCUUUGAAAUUAAAUAACUUUAGCGCAUGCAUGAUAUUAAAAUCAAAGGUCCACUCACAGUGCUCGGCUAUGCUUGCCGACGGCCCUAGGCUUCCUCCAAAUGAUCCUCCUCACGUCCUGAACAAUAAAUAAUCAUUAAGCCUCCAAACCGGGACAAAACUUUAAUAAAAUUCCCGAAAUAAAAAGGAAGCCUAUAAUUUCAUUUCUCUUGCCCAACUUCUCCACAUUUUACCUAAUAAGGUUCACAUUAUUCCGCACUUACCGAAAACCAUAAUUUAACCUUUUUAGACUUUAAAACCUGCUAAACCAACUGCCGGAUUUCCAUUCGAAUAACCGCCCAAAUCCUUAAUCAUAGCUAAAUCCUAAACCUUAUCAAAUCUCCUCCAAAAAUUCCAAACUAUACUUCAUUAAACUCCUCUCAUUAAAACAAACCCAAAAAGCAUGAAAAACUGCCCCUAAGGGGCGGCGGCGGCCGGCAGCCGUUUUCCGGCGACCUCCAAUGCUUCUCAAAUUUUCACAGAAUAUUCCUCUCAUCAUGCUCAACAACAUUCAUAACUAGCACUUACUCCAUUUCUAAGGCUAACUAGGGCCAAUGAAUCAAAACUUCCAUAAAUCCCUAAAAACUUCAAUUAUACAUUUCUCCAUAACAACAACGAAAUAGACUAAUUCCUUUUGAGGGAAUACUCACCUUGAUGACGGCUACAAGAUGAGCCAAAGAUUCCGACCUAUGGUGGCCGGAGGUGGGAUUUCCGGCAAAAAGCUUCCCGGCGUCUCCGGCGAGUUUUCUCCUCUUCCGGCGGGCUAACGGCUCGGGGGCUAGGCCGGGGAGAGAGAGGAGGUGAUGGGGGUCAAAACUGGGGUGGGCUGGCAGCUGGUGGCUGGCCGGACGGUGGCAGACCACGCUGGAAAAGUCCAGCAGAAAAGAGGGCUAGGGAACUCACGGGAGAAAGGGAGAGAAAGGGAAGAGGAGAAGAGAGAAAA